RNAcentral lists this long non-coding RNA (222 nucleotides) under Vigna radiata. Its description in RNAcentral is "long non-coding RNA (VRAD_LNC003400)". Lineage: Eukaryota; Viridiplantae; Streptophyta; Magnoliopsida; Fabales; Fabaceae. The record is from RNAcentral.
AGAGGAUGUAGAAAGGAAAAGUAUGCAAAUUAAUUAAACUAGAUAUUAAAUAAAAUAAUAUUAAGUAAAUCUUUUAAAAGAUUUAGUUGUUGUUAUUUUAAAAAAAUAUUUAAGAGAGAAUAAGAGAGGAAAUCUUAAUGGUUUUAGAUAUAAACUGAGAGAUUUUAUCAAAACUAAAAGGAUAGAGAUAAAAUAGAAGGAGAUAAAAAAGGAGAAGAGUAA